RNAcentral lists this ribosomal RNA (250 nucleotides) under uncultured bacterium. RNAcentral's name for it is "partial 16S ribosomal RNA". It matches the Rfam family "Bacterial small subunit ribosomal RNA", at positions 8 to 254 of the family's 1533-position model. The record is from RNAcentral.
AGAGUUUGAUCCUGGCUCAGGAUGAACGCUAGCGGCAGGCCUAACACAUGCAAGUCGAGGGGCAGCACGGUGUAGCAAUACACUGGUGGCGACCGGCGCACGGGUGCGUAACGCGUAUGCAACCUACCCAUAACAGGGGGAUAACACUGAGAAAUUGGUACUAAUACCCCAUAACAUCAGGACCGGCAUCGGUUCUGGUUGAAAACUCCGGUGGUUAUGGAUGGGCAUGCGUUGUAUUAGCUGGUUUUGG